CGGGUCGUGGAUGGUGUGGCCGGCGAGCGCCGCUUCGUAGGCGCCGGGCUUGCCGUCGGGGUCGCGCGGGCCGGCGUUCCAGGUGCUCGGCACGAC
RNAcentral lists this transfer RNA (96 nucleotides) under Rhodocyclaceae bacterium. RNAcentral's name for it is "tRNA-Thr". Lineage: Bacteria; Pseudomonadati; Pseudomonadota; Betaproteobacteria; Rhodocyclales; Rhodocyclaceae. The record is from RNAcentral.